AAAUUGAAGAGUUUGAUCAUGGCUCAGAUUGAACGCUGGCGGCAGGCCUAACACAUGCAAGUCGAGCGGUAGCACAGAGAGCUUGCUCUCGGGUGACGAGCGGCGGACGGGUGAGUAAUGUCUGGGAAACUGCCUGAUGGAGGGGGAUAACUA
This 153-nucleotide ribosomal RNA is filed under the name Klebsiella aerogenes. RNAcentral's name for it is "partial 16S ribosomal RNA". It matches the Rfam family "Bacterial small subunit ribosomal RNA", at positions 1 to 149 of the family's 1533-position model. The record is from RNAcentral. Lineage: Bacteria; Pseudomonadati; Pseudomonadota; Gammaproteobacteria; Enterobacterales; Enterobacteriaceae. RNAcentral also lists the same sequence under 3 other names.